RNA transcript from Hylaeus volcanicus, 1895 nucleotides. It is a transcript of the gene named 26S proteasome non-ATPase regulatory subunit 12-like, with no coding region annotated. NCBI's taxonomy places the organism in Eukaryota, Metazoa, Arthropoda, Insecta, Hymenoptera, Colletidae. The transcript is spliced from 10 exons. The record is from RefSeq and is a predicted model, not a curated record.
AGCGUUGUUAUUUUGCGGUUAAUGCAUGACAAUCGUUUUUUGACAUUGUCUCAUAGAAAAUAUUAAGUUCAUAUACAGACGUACGUAGAUCGCAUUUACUGAAAGGAAUUUCUACGUUUCGUUAUACUAUUUCGCAACAGGAAGAAAAUAUCAGUAAGUCAAGACGGACAUCCCCGAAAGCGCAAUGUCUUCUAGUGAUCUUACAAAAACGAUGGCGGAUUAUACCGCCGUUUGCGAUGCAAAAAUCCCAGAGUGCGAACUCAUGGCACGAGAGGGGAAGCUGCACGAUGCUUUAGACCAGUUGCUGGCGUUAGAGAAACUAACACGAACAAAGCCAGAUAUAAUAUCAACGUCGCGAAUUUUGGUUGCCAUUGUUCAAAUUUGUCUAGAAGCAAGAAAUUGGGCAGCUCUGAACGAACAUAUAGUUUUAUUGACCAAAAGGCGUUCUCAGUUAAAACUGGCAGUCACAAAAAUGGUCCAAGAGUGUUCUACUUAUGUAGACAAAAUGCCAGACAAGGAAACCACAAUAAAAUUGAUAGAAACUCUGCGUACAGUAACUGAAGGAAAGAUAUACGUGGAAGUUGAGAGAGCAAGGCUCACUCAUCGUCUGGCAAAAAUCAAAGAGGAAGAUGGAGAUAUCGCUGGUGCUGCAGCUGUUAUGCUGGAAUUACAAGUUGAGACAUACGGUAGUAUGUCGCGUUUAGAAAAAGCUUCUCUUAUUUUGGAGCAAAUGCGAUUAUGUUUAGCAAAGAAAGAUUUCAUGCGUACUCAAAUAAUAGCCAAGAAAAUCAACGUCAAAUUCUUCAAAGAUGACGACGACGAAGAAACGCAGACCCUCAAACUGAAAUAUUACGACCUGAUGAUGGAAUUAGCGCGUCACGAAGGUUGGCAUCUAGAAUUGUGUAGACACAACCGAGCGGUACUAGAGACUCCAACUGUGAAAGAUGAUCCAAAGAGAAGGCAGACUGCGCUUUCUCGAGCUGUUUUGUAUCUUGUACUCGCCCCUCACGAACCGGAACAAGCUGACUUAACGCAUAGACUACUCGCCGAUAAACUUCUAGACGAGAUACCGACAUACAAAGAGUUAUUACGCCUUUUUGUGAAUCCAGAACUGAUAAAGUGGUCCGGGCUUUGCGAAAUCUAUGAGAAAGACCUCGCUACAACCGAAGUCUUCACGCCUUCGACGGAAGAAGGUCGAGAGCGGUGGGCUGAUCUACGACAUCGCGUUGUUGAACACAACAUUAGGAUUAUGGCAAAAUAUUACACAAAAAUUACGUUAACUCGUAUGGCCGAAUUGUUGGAUUUACCAGUCGAAGAAACUGAAUCGUGUCUCUGCUAUCUAGUCGAAACUGGAGUGAUAAAUGCCCGUACAGAUCGGCCAGCUGGCGUAGUUCGAUUCACCGGAACACAAGAACCAGCUGCUUUAUUAGAUGCUUGGGCUGCUUCUUUAUCGAAAUUAAUGAGCCUCGUCAACCAUACGACCCAUCUUAUUCAUCAAGAAGAAAUGCUGGCUGUUGCUCAAUCCUAAAAGGCUCUUAAAACUUCAUCAAGCGGAUACAUCGCGAUACAUUAUUACCCGUUAACGCCUUAUUGUUACAGAUGACGAGCUUUUCAUCUCGACCAUCGUUAACGUCCAAUUUAUACACAAAUAAAAAUAUGCACGUACAAACGUACUUGUUAAAUUUUGUAACGUACAGUGUAAAAAUAUUUAUACACGCAACGCGUAUUACUCGGACUAGAAUACCCUAGCUUCCAUACAAGGCAAUUUAUCUUUGAUUAUAUUUCGAUUCUCGCAACCAAAUAGAAUUUCAUACCGUUGCAGAACUCUCGUUAUUUAGAAGUGUUACGUAUCAGAGGUACUGAACAUUCGAAAAAAAAAUAUUAUUUCGAAUGCA